This 1090-nucleotide long non-coding RNA is filed under the name Pogona vitticeps (central bearded dragon). RNAcentral's name for it is "lncRNA (ENSPVIG00000024684.1)". The record is from RNAcentral. Lineage: Eukaryota; Metazoa; Chordata; Lepidosauria; Squamata; Agamidae.
AUGUUAACUUUCCCUCUGAGAUCUCCUUACGGCCACUUCUUCCACAAUCAUCUCUGUUAUGCCAAACAAUUUACCUUAAACAAAAGACUGAGACACGAAGGCUUUUCUAUUGAAGUUCAUUUUAUUUACAUAAAAAGGGAAAAACAAAAACAGAACGCCACUGCAGUUUGGCGGGAAGAAAAACCAAUUUCACCUUAAUUGUGGGUGAUUAGGAUUUCUUCAAAGAACAAAGGAAUUGGUACAGUCUUAUAGCUGUCCCCUCAGGGCGAGAGGGGUGGGCCUUUGAGGUCAUUAAGUUAGUUAGCAACAAUUCAUUGGAUUAGUGAAAACACAUUUUAGACAUGCGCAGAACAAUUCACUUUCCCUAAAUUGGGCCUCUGUCUCAACAUUCCAUGCUUAUCUCAGAAAAGCGUGAGACCUUGAACAGAGAAGAAAAGGCAAGGAGAAAGGGGGGGUCGAGGAGCCUGUUUUUACAAGGCUGGAUAAUCUCUUCUGAAUACACACACAAACAGCUUGUUUUUAAGAACAAUCUUUUAUGAGGCAAUUGCCUCAUUUGAAUAAGUCAAACCUUUUGCUUCUAUCAUCUCUAUUGGUUAGAAUCAAUUCCAGGAAAGUCAAUCCUCUAGUUUCUCCUUUUUGUAGGAGAAAUUUAUCAGCAGCAUAAGCCAGAAAUUUCUUGGAAGGGCCAUAUUUGGCAGAAUAUGCUGCUCAACAUAUAAUUUAAAUCUCCCAUUAUUAUUACUCCAUCACAUCUUAAAAUUCUUGCAAUUUGUUUUUCAAAAACAUCAUCUGCAUCUUGGGCAGUUGGCAAAGAUUCCAAUUAUCACAUUCCAUUGCAUUGGAACCAGGGGUAAGGGUUAGUCAGAGAGAUACCCUAAGAAUGUUUUCCAUAUUUCACCCUUCCUAAAUCUAUAGGUAGACUGUUGAACUUCCAAUGCCUUCUUUUUGCCCUCUAUAUUUCAAAGAAGAUUUCCAGUACGUGAUCCUCUGUUUAGCAAGGAAGGCAGACCUGCAUACAUUGAAGUCAGCUCUAGGGACUUCUGGAACUAAAUUUAGAAACCCAGUGUCAUGCAAUAUCUAAAAAUAGAUU